Molecule: long non-coding RNA, 205 nt
Filed under: Elaeis guineensis (African oil palm)
Lineage: Eukaryota; Viridiplantae; Streptophyta; Magnoliopsida; Arecales; Arecaceae
Description: long non-coding RNA (EGUI_LNC065623)
Source: RNAcentral
CUAACAGUUUCAUGAUUUUUUUUUCAAAAUCUUUGGUUUAUAGAUCACAUCGCAGUAUCCCAUUUCCAGACAUCUACAACCCUAUAUAAGAUUAAGAUUGAUCCAGUUAUCUAAUUUCAUCCGAUUAAGAUCCAAUUAGGAUAUAUGUGGUUCAACAAAUAUCAAAGAUAAUUAAAUCAAUAGUAUUUAACAAAAAUCAAGGUGG